CCUACGGGAGGCAGCAGUGAGGAAUAUUGGUCAAUGGGCGAAACCCUGAACCAGCCAAGUCGCGUGAGGGAAGAAGGCCCUAUGUAUCGUAAGCUCCUUUUGCAGGGGAGUAAAUGACGGCACUUGUCUCAGUAUCCCCGGCCAAAUACGUUCAAGCCGCCGCCGUACUGCGUCGGGAGCAAGCGUUAUCCGGAUUUACUGGGCGUAAAGGGAGUGUAGUGGGCAGCGCAAGUCUGGAGUGAAAUGCCGGGGCCCAACCCAGGAACUGCUUUGGAAACUGGGAGACUGGAGUGCAGGAGAGGUAGGCGGAAUUCGUGGUGUAGCGGUGAAAUGCGUAGAUAUCAGGAGGAACACCGACGGCGAAGGCAGCUUACUGGACUGUGACUGACGGUGAGGCUCGAAGGCGUGGGUAGCAAACAGGAUUAGAUACCCGGGUAGUC
This 440-nucleotide ribosomal RNA is filed under the name uncultured bacterium. RNAcentral describes it as "partial 16S ribosomal RNA". It matches the Rfam family "Bacterial small subunit ribosomal RNA", at positions 338 to 795 of the family's 1533-position model. The record is from RNAcentral.